Long non-coding RNA from Mustela lutreola (European mink), 461 nucleotides. RefSeq lists it as uncharacterized. The record is from RefSeq and is a predicted model, not a curated record. Lineage: Eukaryota; Metazoa; Chordata; Mammalia; Carnivora; Mustelidae. The transcript has 3 exons.
AUGAAGCUUCAACGUCAAGUUUGUAUCUAGCGGUGAGGUCUAAGGAUAAGUGGAUCUUUGUCCCUUCCAGGACAGGGUGUGUGGAAGAGAAAAGGCUAUGUUGCCCUGUUGGGUCCUUCUCCCUCACCUGCCUGCCCCUCAGGUUCAAGUCCACCCACCAAGGAAAGGCGGAGGAGACAUCCUGGGACAUAAGGAGCCUCAAAGCUGCGCUCAUAAAGCGGAAAGCAAUGGAAAGGCAUGGAACGUGGGACGGAAUGCCCCUCAAAGCAGUCAAGCAGGCGUUAAAGAGAGUCUCUUCCCGAAGCGGUUCUGGAGAGCAAGUUUCCUUAAGGACAAAGUUGACCACGAAACUGCUGACUGCUCUGGGCUGCAGGGCACUCAAUCGGGGAUGUUGAGAAGCUGGCGGUCUCUGCUCCUCUGGAGAAGAAUCAAAGACCUUCCCCGGGAACAUCGCAGCCUAC